This 912-nucleotide ribosomal RNA is filed under the name uncultured bacterium. RNAcentral's name for it is "bacterial SSU rRNA". It matches the Rfam family "Bacterial small subunit ribosomal RNA", at positions 1 to 895 of the family's 1533-position model. The record is from RNAcentral.
UUAGAGUUUGAUCCUGGCUCAGGACGAACGCUGGCGGCGUGCUUAACACAUGCAAGUCGAACGGGGUGUUUAUUUCGGUAAACACCAAGUGGCGAACGGGUGAGUAACGCGUAAGCAAUCUACCUUCAAGAUGGGGACAACACUUCGAAAGGGGUGCUAAUACCGAAUGAAUGUAAGAGUAUCGCAUGAGACACUUACUAAAGGAGGCCUCUGAAAAUGCUUCCGCUUGAAGAUGAGCUUGCGUCUGAUUAGCUAGUUGGUGAGGGUAAAGGCCCACCAAGGCGACGAUCAGUAGCCGGUCUGAGAGGAUGAACGGCCACAUUGGGACUGAGACACGGCCCAGACUCCUACGGGAGGCAGCAGUGGGGAAUCUUCCGCAAUGGGCGAAAGCCUGACGGAGCAACGCCGCGUGAACGAUGAAGGUCUUAGGAUCGUAAAGUUCUGUUGUUAGGGACGAAGGAUAAGGAUUAUAAUACAGUCUUUGUUUGACGGUACCUAACGAGGAAGCCACGGCUAACUACGUGCCAGCAGCCGCGGUAAUACGUAGGCGGCAAGCGUUGUCCGGAAUUAUUGGGCGUAAAGGGAGCGCAGGCGGGAAACUAAGCGGAUCUUAAAAGUGCGGGGCUCAACCCCGUGAUGGGGUCCGAACUGGUUUUCUUGAGUGCAGGAGAGGAAAGCGGAAUUCCCAGUGUAGCGGUGAAAUGCGUAGAUAUUGGGAAGAACACCAGUGGCGAAGGCGGCUUUCUGGACUGUAACUGACGCUGAGGCUCGAAAGCUAGGGUAGCGAACGGGAUUAGAUACCCCGGUAGUCCUAGCCGUAAACGAUGGAUACUAGGUGUGGGAGGUAUCGACUCCUUCCGUGCCGGAGUUAACGCAAUAAGUAUCCCGCCUGGGGAGUACGGCCGCAAGGUU